UAAAACGACAUCGUUUUGAACUGUUAACGGAAAGUUGACUCCGUUAAUUUUCUGUUAACGGAAAUUUCACGGCAUGCCUUAAAUGACCACGUCAACGAAACUUAGACAUUUUUUAAUAAGCCAACUCAAACUUUGAGAUUUAAAUGACAUUUCGAAAGUUCAUGCUUUUUUCGUCCCAAAUUUGAAAGUUGGCGCAUUUUUCAACAUUUUUCCCGAAAAUAAUUAGGUGUAAGUAGGCAGAACUUACUUUUUGUGACUCUUAAUAACGGUCGCAAAAUGGUAACACUAUUUUCGAAAACG
RNAcentral lists this small RNA (300 nucleotides) under Arabidopsis thaliana (thale cress). RNAcentral describes it as "ATSL156010". The record is from RNAcentral. Lineage: Eukaryota; Viridiplantae; Streptophyta; Magnoliopsida; Brassicales; Brassicaceae.